GUUGGAAAUAGAUAUAUAUACAACAAAGUUGUAUAUACAACAAUGUAUAUCCUAUAUAUACAACAAUGUUGUAUACCUACAACAACGGUAUAUCCUAUAUAUACAACAAUGUUGUAUACCUACAACAACGGUAUAUCCUAUAUAUACAACAAUUGUUGUAUACCUACAACAACGGUAUAUCCUAUAUAUACAACAAUUGUUGUAUACCUACAACAACGGUAUGUCCUAUACCUACAACAAUAGCAAUCUGGCAACAUCGCAGAAUGGGCGGCAACGACAAGCACUGAAAGGCUCGUGGACGACACCGACUGCCGGCGCCGGCUCACGGUCGUCGCCGCCAUCUUGCCAAGCGGAGCGCGGACCGGAGCGGAACUGUGAAAAUUCCGGAAAACGAAGCCACGAGCACCAGAAAACAGGAAAUGCUAGUGGAAGAUUCGCCGUAUUGUUCACAGGGACAAACGACCUGGGGACGACCCUGCGCGUCCACGUCUGGACGGUGCCGAUUCCCGCGUGGCAUGGACACGACCCGAGGAAGGAAGGAUUUGGCCUUGUUGAGGUUGAGCAGCAGGCCCAGCAAAUGUCGUCCGCAGUGGCGACGAAAUGCAAAACAGGACACCUGGAUGGUGCCGAUUUUUGUUCGGUCGAGGAAGGAAGAUUUUUGUGCGGUCGAGGAAGGAAGGGUUAGGCCUUGUUGAGGUUGAGCAGCAGGCCCAGCAAAUGUCGUCCGCAGUGGCGUUCAAAUGCAAAACAUGACACCUGGACGGUGCAGAUUUUUGUUCGGUCGAGGAAGGAAGGGUUAGGCCUUGUUGAGGUUGAGCAGCAGGCCAGGUGAAUGCCGUCCGCAGUGGCGAUUAAGAUUCAGUGCAAGUAACCAUGGAUAUGGAGGGAGCUGUCAUAAUCUCCUUGGACUUGAUUGGAUAUCCAUGCUGGAUUCUUGCUCUGCGCGUGCUUCUUCAGCUUGUCCCGGUGCUCGUUACUUGUCCCUUUUGGUCGACCACGGACCUUUGGUUUUAGUGGAAAACCAAUCUUCUGCUGAGAAGUGAUGUUUCUCAAAAACUCUGAUGCUGGAAGAAAUUCUUCUUCAUGAGCCACUGCAAUUUCCACCGAGCCAUCUUUAUCCUCCUCGAAAUCCUUGCCUGCCUCUUGCCCAGCAGAUUCAACUUCUGACACUUCAACCAGCGCCAAUCCGUCUUCCGCAGAGCCAAUUUCCCGACCCUGUGACUCCUCAGCUUGCACAGAAUAGUUUGCCUGUGCCUCAACAUUAUUUCCAUCAUCUUCGCAAGAGACAGAGCAGACUUCUUCAACGUCAAAAACUCCUACGUCUUCCACUGGACGCAACACAUUCGCAUUUCUGCCAGCUAUAAAUGUGAAUUAAUAAGGAGGCAGCUGCUGCUCACAAGUUUGGUAUUGAAUGGUCCAGCGCAUUGGGAUUUCCACAGCAUCGAUCAUGGGAAGCCCAAUUUCCUUCCUCAGAGCCAUGAUGUGGUAGCAAGGUUGAAUCAAACAGGAGCAGCUCUGGAAAUUUUGCGUAAUUCUUCUUCAUCUCUGAGGUUGCGAUGAAAAGACAUGAGAAGUUGCCCUCCGGACCAGUGAUGAUUGUGUAUGAUCCUAAUUACAAACAUAAUAUGCAAUGGCAAUCUAUUGGCAUGAUAUGGUUCAGGACUUGGGGUCUAAAGGAUUGAGAAAGCCUGGUGUCAGAUAAGUGAAACAUAACAAGUUGAUAAAUGUGUACUUUGUGAGCUCCUAUUUUUUCAGAUUCCGGAUGGUGGAUCUCCAUUGGCAAAAAAAUAAGCUGGUAUGCGAAUGUCAUAAAUAAUAUUCAAACCCUCUGAAACGAGAACUAAAGGUGCAUGGAGACAAGAUAAUACCUAAUGAAAUCAAAAUGUGCUGUCAUCGAGAGUUCACUACUUGAGAAACUCGAUUUUAAUCAUAUAACCAUCUUUAGAAUAUUUACAUGUGAAAGUAUACCAUUUUAUAAUCAAUAGAAAAUUUUGUAGCCAGAUUUUUAUGUGUUAUAUUGAUAUAUUACUUCUCAUUGUCCAGAUCCUUGGGUAGGACUGCUUUCCCCGUCUCCUUCAUGAUAACCUCUCUUAUCUUGGUUGGAUUCACUCCAAGGUCGUCAAGCUGCUGCAGACGCUCCUUCUCUGUGUUGUUCAAUCUACGCUGCUUAGGGUAUUGUGCAAAAUCAGCCGGACAUGGUUUGUGCACCUUUUCAUGUACGUCUGUGGUCACGUGACAGUCGUAGAUGUAUAGCAUUUCAUUACGAGUGCCCACCUUGAAAUAGGCACCACAGCCAAGUUUGUAGGAUCUGAAAAAUUAUUGUUCCUUAUAACAAUGUAGCUAAUGAUAUGCAAUAUUGAAAGAAAAAAUUUGGAUAAUAUGUAUUGCAUACAAAAAUCAAAAUAAUAUGUGCUUAGCAUUAAGGAUAUGUGAAGUUUUUGUAUUAAUGUAUUACAAAUAAUCACAAUUUUCAAAUUAAGGGCACAGUGUAGUGCAAAUUAUUCUCAUGUUUCCAAUUGCUCAAAAUCCCUCAUAACUGAAUGCACAUGUUGGAAAAUAUGUAAUGUAUAUUUACUUCUGAUUGGGGCGCUGCCCUGUCGAACGACCAUCAACGGGAUCUCCAUAAUGGAUACAUGCAUAUUUGGCAGAUCUAAUGACCAAUUUGUUCUUCUUUGUCUCCAAUUUGGCCCUGGCCGCUGCAUCAACCACCUUGUCAGAGAUUUUUAUGUAGUUGCUGCUUAGGCAUGUAUACACAAUGAAGGUUUCUUGUUCCAAUGCCUUAAUUGCCUCUGAAAGAUCACUAAAACUUUUGAAGGUCUUGCCAUUUGUGAUUGACAGUGUUUGUGCCAUUUUACAAAACCGCUUGAAUCACAGAUCACAUACAGACUAAAGAGCAGGAGCACAAGCAAAGAGUACCCAGAGCUGCAGAUCUAAUUGAAUUUGAGCAGUGUUGAAACAUGUUCUGUUUGCCUGCUGUUCCCCCUCUUACACUCUCAAAGUUCCAUUCCCUGAUUGCAAGUGAAGAUGCAAUAAUAAUACUGUGCUGUCACCUCUUUUUGUUUGGAGAAUGAUGUUUAUGUAUUUGUAGCCAAUCUAGCUGCCGCAGAUUCACAAAAAAAUUAUUGUAAAAAAUUGUAUUAAUAAAACACUGAUUGUGUUUUCCCAUCGA
RNA transcript from Cloeon dipterum, 3169 nucleotides. RefSeq lists it as uncharacterized. The record is from RefSeq and is a predicted model, not a curated record. NCBI's taxonomy places the organism in Eukaryota, Metazoa, Arthropoda, Insecta, Ephemeroptera, Baetidae. The transcript has 10 exons.